This 72-nucleotide transfer RNA is filed under the name Navicula tsukamotoi. RNAcentral describes it as "Haslea tsukamotoi tRNA-Glu". It matches the Rfam family "tRNA". From Rfam's summary of the family: Transfer RNA (tRNA) molecules are approximately 80 nucleotides in length. Their secondary structure includes four short double-helical elements and three loops (D, anti-codon, and T loops). Further hydrogen bonds mediate the characteristic L-shaped molecular structure. tRNAs have two regions of fundamental functional importance: the anti-codon, which is responsible for specific mRNA codon recognition, and the 3' end, to which the tRNAs corresponding amino acid is attached (by aminoacyl-tRNA synthetases). tRNAs cope with the degeneracy of the genetic code in two manners: having more than one tRNA (with a specific anti-codon) for a particular amino acid; and 'wobble' base-pairing, i.e. permitting non-standard base-pairing at the 3rd anti-codon position. Lineage: Eukaryota; Bacillariophyta; Bacillariophyceae; Naviculales; Naviculaceae. The record is from RNAcentral.
GUCCUUAUCGUCUAGUGGUUAGGACCCCGUCCUUUCACGACGGUAACAUGGGUUCGAAUCCCAUUAAGGAUA